The sequence is a non-coding RNA, 1828 nucleotides long. It matches the Rfam family "Eukaryotic large subunit ribosomal RNA", at positions 42 to 1888 of the family's 3401-position model.
CGCAACAGCAACAGCAACAACAACAACAGGGAUUGCCUCAGUAACGGCGAGUGAAGCGGCAAGAGCUCAAAUUUGAAAUCUGGCUCCUUCGGGGCCCGAGUUGUAAUUUGUAGAGGAUGCUUCGGGCGUGGCCGCGGUCUAAGUCCCCUGGAACGGGGCGUCGCAGAGGGUGAGAAUCCCGUCUUCGGCCGGCCGGCCCCGCCCGUGUGAAGCUCCUUCGACGAGUCGAGUUGUUUGGGAAUGCAGCUCUAAAUGGGUGGUAAAUUUCAUCUAAAGCUAAAUACUGGUCGGAGACCGAUAGCGCACAAGUAGAGUGAUCGAAAGAUGAAAAGCACUUUGAAAAGAGAGUUAAACAGCAUGUGAAAUUGUUGAAAGGGAAGCGCUUGCGACCAGAGUCGGCCGCGGGGGCUCAGCGGGCACUCGUUGCCCGUGCACUCCCCCGUGGUCGGGCCAGCGUCGGUUUCGACGGCCGGUCAAAGGCCCCCGGAAUGUGUCGCCUCUCGGGGCGUCUUAUAGCCGGGGGUGCAAUGCGGCCAGUCGGGACCGAGGAACGCGCUCCGGCACGGACGCUGGCUUAAUGGUCGUAAGCGACCCGUCUUGAAACACGGACCAAGGAGUCUAACAUCCACGCGAGUGUUCGGGUGUCAAACCCGUCCGCGCAGUGAAAGCGAACGGAGGUGGGAACCCUCAAGGGUGCACCAUCGACCGAUCCUGAAGUCUUCGGAUGGAUUUGAGUAAGAGCGUGGCUGUUGGGACCCGAAAGAUGGUGAACUAUGCCUGAAUAGGGUGAAGCCAGAGGAAACUCUGGUGGAGGCUCGCAGCGGUUCUGACGUGCAAAUCGAUCGUCAAAUUUGGGCAUAGGGGCGAAAGACUAAUCGAACCAUCUGGUAGCUGGUUCCUGCCGAAGUUUCCCUCAGGAUAGCAGUAACGUUUUCAGUUUUAUGAGGUAAAGCGAAUGAUUAGAGGCCUUGGGGUUGAAACAACCUUAACCUAUUCUCAAACUUUAAAUAUGUAAGAAGCCCUUGUUGCUUAGUUGAACGUGGGCACUGGAAUGGAUCGUUACUAGUGGGCCAUUUUUGGUAAGCAGAACUGGCGAUGCGGGAUGAACCGAACGCGAGGUUAAGGUGCCGGAAUGCACGCUCAUCAGACACCACAAAAGGUGUUAGUUCAUCUAGACAGCCCGACGGUGGCCAUGGAAGUCGGAAUCCGCUAAGGAGUGUGUAACAACUCACGGGCCGAAUGAACUAGCCCUGAAAAUGGAUGGCGCUCAAGCGUGCUACCCAUACCUCGCCGUCGGGGCAGAAACGACGCCCCGACGAGUAGGCAGGCGUGGAGGUCCGUGACGAAGCCCUGGGAGUGAUCCCGGGUCGAACGGCCUCUAGUGCAGAUCUUGGUGGUAGUAGCAAAUACUCAAAUGAGAACUUUGAGGACUGAAGUGGGGAAAGGUUCCAUGUGAACAGCAGUUGGACAUGGGUUAGUCGACCCUAAGACAUAGGGAAGUUCCGUUUCAAAGCGCGCCCUCGUGCGCCGUCCGUCGAAAGGGAAGCCGGUUAAUAUUCCGGCACCUGGAUGUGGAUUCUCCACGGCAACGUAACUGAACGCGGAGACGUCGGCGGGGGUCCUGGGAAGAGUUAUCUUUUCUUCUUGACGGCCUAUCACCCUGAAAUCGGUUUGUCCGGAGCUAGGGUUCAACGGCCGGCAGAGCCCCGCACCUUUGCGGGGUCCGGUGCGCCCCCGACGACCCUUGAAAAUCCGCGGGAAGGAAUAGUUUUCACGCCAGGUCGUACUCAUAACCGCAGCAGGUCUCCAAGGUGAAAAGCCUCUAGUU